Molecule: ribosomal RNA, 263 nt
Filed under: uncultured Glomus
Lineage: Eukaryota; Fungi; Glomeromycota; Glomeromycetes; Glomerales; Glomeraceae
Description: partial 18S ribosomal RNA
Rfam family: Eukaryotic small subunit ribosomal RNA
Source: RNAcentral
UUGGAGGGCAAGUCUGGUGCCAGCAGCCGCGAUAAUUCCAGCUCCAAUAGCGUAUAUUAAAGUUGUUGCAGUUAAAAAGCUCGUAGUUGAAUUUCGGGAUCAGACUGUCGGUCGUGCCUCGGUACGCACUGGCAUUAUUGGUUCCUACCUUCUGAAGAACCGCGAUGUCAUUAAUUUGGUGCCGCGGGGAAUCAGGACUGUUACUUUGAAAAAAUUAGAGUGUUUAAAGCAGGCGCACGCUUGAAUACAUUAGCAUGGAAUAA